Molecule: long non-coding RNA, 320 nt
Organism: Drosophila innubila
Lineage: Eukaryota; Metazoa; Arthropoda; Insecta; Diptera; Drosophilidae
Exons: 2
Source: RefSeq, a predicted model, not a curated record
UAAUCCAUUCUUAUACAUAUGUACAUACAUACGUACAUACAUACAUACACAUACAUACAUACAUACAUACAUGUUAAAAUGACGCGCAAAACAAACACGUGAGGAACAUGCGAUAACGUAACGAGAAGCAAGCCAAGCUUAGAGCUUUUGACUCAGAGUAGAAAGAGCAGCUUAGAGCUUUGCAUACACAUACAUAUGUAUGCAUACACAUAUAUAUCUCUCUUUUAUGGUGUCGGUUUUUCGUAACGCACGCGGUCAAGCGUAUUUUCGAUUCACUCCCAACGCGCCUAUAGAAGUUUCACUUCAAAAACAAGAGAAUC